UCCUUUCAACUUAGUUCUUGUUUCUCUGCUUGCAUUUGCUCUGAUCCAAUGAUCAUAAAGGAGUAAUGUCCAACUGGACUCCAUCAACAGCUGCAACUAUAUUUCAAGAUCAAACCACCAGAAGCUAAUAAACCACUGGCUGCACCGGCUCCUGCCUCCAAUGGUUCUGCUACAGCUCCUGGUGUUCCUCCAAGGCCAUUGCCACCUCCACCUCAAGCACCACCACCACCACCACCUCAAGCACCUCCACCUUCUGCUCCACCUCCGGUCAUGAAUCCUCCUAGGCCUCCACCACCUGCACCAACUAUGGUGGGCUCACAACCUCCCCCUCCGCCACCAGUGGCAAAUGGUCCUCCCCGGCCAGUACCACCACCACCUAUGGGUGGCAGUGCGAUGGCAAACUUCACACCAGGUGUUCAAGCUCCUCGACCACCAAUGCAAGGUUUCGCUGGACAGCCAAUGCAAGGCCAAGUUUCGCACCC
This 482-nucleotide long non-coding RNA is filed under the name Musa acuminata (dwarf banana). Its description in RNAcentral is "long non-coding RNA (MACU_LNC003271)". Lineage: Eukaryota; Viridiplantae; Streptophyta; Magnoliopsida; Zingiberales; Musaceae. The record is from RNAcentral.